UUAAUUAGUGGACUUGGAAGCUGGAUUACAUUAAAAACUUGUGACUGUAUAAUUUCUUAAGUAUAAUCUUAUCAAUUCUAUAUAGAGGAAUUGUCAUCAUGAAGAGAAACUACUUGUAGCACUUCAUUAACAUUUCUUCCAAAGUUCAGAAUAAAGCAACUGGACAAAUCGGUUACCUGUCUUCAGUUACACUAAUACUUUCUACAAUGCUCAAGUGAUGGACAUGUCGACCUUCAUGAGCAAUGAUGGAAUUAAGCUAAAAGGUACAAUACCUUUAUAUUUAAAGCCUUAACUGAGAUCCUAUGCGAUACCAAUUUAUUUUAGGUUGAAAAUUACGCGAAAAAUGAUAUAUAGGCUAAACCAAGAAAAUUGUCUAUUAAAAAUAAAUACAAAUUAUUAUAAUUACAUUGAUGGUAUUCUGGAAAAAUAGUAUCUACUAAAACCCACUAUUUGCAACUAACAUUAAACAAAAUAUUCUUGAUUAAAACCUUUCGUAAUAGGUAUAUCAUUAUUAUAUAAAACGUAUUUAGUAAUCAAUGUAUAUGAAAAAGUUAUAAAACGACUAAACGUGGAUACACUAAACAUAAGUUACGGCAUCUGGAUGUGCCAGCUAGAACUAAUCGAGUACUACGAAUAUUAAAGUUGCGGGGCCACCUUCAGCAACACAACCUUAAAUAACCUUAAACAAUUUUCUACCAAACUAGUCCUGUAUUUAAAGAAAAUAAAUUAAUGUACUAGUAUAAAUUAGGAAUUAUCUUAAAAGAAAGUUAUGUAAUAAAUACUAAAAUGAAAAAUUUGCUUGCAAGGCCACGUGAUUUUGAAAGAAUUAAAACUCAAGUUUAAUAGAUAUACCUAAGGUAAGUGUUUUAAAAUAAAAACCUGAUCAAUUGAUUAUUCAAAAUCUCAAGGUACAGGAAUUUAUAUCACAUGAAGAAUGGCGACGUGAAGAGAAAGUUGUUUAAUACCUUGGGCUAGAAUAUAGAUGAAGCAUUGUACAAAACAAUAAUUGAAUAUCAUUAUAUAUUUACCUAACAGUAUCAGUUUUGGUAAGAAAAAAGAAAAUACUCUUGAAACUGAUUUUUAAUCCAAUACAUCUAAUAUGAAGCUAAAAGUAAUAAAAAAUUCGCUACAAUGUCCACAAAUUCCAACAAAAGGAAUUAAGGUAUUUCAUCGAAUUACUCUGAAUUUACAUGCGUAGAGAAACAAUUAUGACUUAAAUUUAUUUUACUCAAUUAUUUUGUUAUUUUUAUAUUGAUUAAAAUAAUUCAUUUCCUACAACAACACACACACUACUACUAACUACACAACAAUAAAAAGAUGAAAAUACAUUUGAUUUUUAGAUAAAUAUAAA
Molecule: long non-coding RNA, 1351 nt
Organism: Melitaea cinxia (Glanville fritillary)
Lineage: Eukaryota; Metazoa; Arthropoda; Insecta; Lepidoptera; Nymphalidae
Exons: 2
Source: RefSeq, a predicted model, not a curated record